Molecule: long non-coding RNA, 1353 nt
Filed under: Eucalyptus grandis
Lineage: Eukaryota; Viridiplantae; Streptophyta; Magnoliopsida; Myrtales; Myrtaceae
Description: long non-coding RNA (EGRA_LNC001086)
Source: RNAcentral
UUCGCUUGUUUCUGUAUUGUAGUGUCAGUCUCCAUCGCUUAUGCUAAAUCAGACAUGAAGCAUUGACCGAAAGAAAAGGGACUGUAUAUUAUUCAGAUUGUGGACAUAAAUCAAAGGAUCUGUCAGAAAUAUUUGUCAUGUUAUCUAUUCUAUCCUCAAAAGUUGAUUUCAUUCUUGUUAUCUUGCGGGUAAAACUUUUUGUUACUUUGAUUACAACCAUUUGCACGUUCAUUGCAGUUUCAUCCAUGUCCCAUGUAUAUGCUGCAUAAAUAUUUGACCACUUCUGUUUGGCAUUGUACUGCGAUUGUGAUGUAGCCUUGUUUGUCUUAAGACUGAGUUGUGAUGUAGCAUUGUACUGCGAUUGUGAUGUAGCCUUGGGUGAACUAUCCUAGGUCGGUCGCAUCAUGCUAACUUUCUAGUCACUCACUGAUUUUCUCUUUUGUCCCGCUGUAGAUUGUUUUGACCACCGCGAGAACCGCCGCCAACGCCAACUCCCUUGCCAGCGAUGCCAACUCAAUCCCUCCCAAAGAAUACCUUGCCCGUUACUGGACUGAACAAAUCACUAGCAAUCCUGCCAUGCCACCACUGCUCAUAUCCAAAGUUUCCCCCUUUAACUGCUGCAGAAACAACCCUUUUUGCCCAGCUUGUGGCUAAAGGUGCCAUCUCCGAUCACCUCUCAUUUUUCUGCGGGGCAGCACAACUGCUUUACUUCCCAGCCUCACCACACUAUCCAGUUAGUUACUCUUUCCCACUAGCAUGAACUGCCAAGAAGCAAUUGAAUUUGAUAUUCAUGCAGUCCCUAGAUUAAUCCACAAGAUGACGUUGAACUCAAUACUCACGUGAUACCGUAUGGAGAGAGAAAUUUGCUUUGCCUGCUUUGACGUCAACAUCUGUCGGAAAUUUUUGAGGAAGAAGCCUGCGUGAAAUGACAAUUCACCAAGUCAGUAACUUAACCACGGAAAAUUCAGGUAGACAAAGCAUGAAAUCAUCAUAGGAGCAUAAUUACCAUUGACUGGUCCUCUUCGUGGCAGUAGAGUUCCCAUUAUUGCUCUUCACAUGAAGCCAUGACUCAGAUCAAUCUCUUACUCAGGAAGAGUUUUAUGUUAAGAGUCUGAGCUUUUCGGGCAUUUGACCAAACGCAAGGGUGCUCCUCUAUCCAAGUUGAGUUGAGCUCACUCGUGCUGCCUCACCCUGGCUGGCAGUUAGUAACCAGAAAGAUUGAACUUUAAAGUUAGUCAACUCCGACGGUAUUCAGUUAAAACGUGCAAAAAGAGAACCAAAAUCUAGCGGAAUCAGGUUCUUCUGUUGAUAACAAAACAAUCAUUUUGCAACCUGGAAUCAUUAGAAAUUGCA